RNAcentral lists this ribosomal RNA (296 nucleotides) under Clostridioides sp. ES-S-0049-03. RNAcentral describes it as "partial 16S ribosomal RNA". It matches the Rfam family "Bacterial small subunit ribosomal RNA", at positions 1 to 305 of the family's 1533-position model. RNAcentral also lists the same sequence under 2 other names. Lineage: Bacteria; Bacillati; Bacillota; Clostridia; Peptostreptococcales; Peptostreptococcaceae. The record is from RNAcentral.
UUUAUUUGAGAGUUUGAUCCUGGCUCAGGAUGAACGCUGGCGGCGUGCCUAACACAUGCAAGUUGAGCGAUUUACUUCGGUAAAGAGCGGCGGACGGGUGAGUAACGCGUGGGUAACCUACCCUGUACACACGGAUAACAUACCGAAAGGUAUGCUAAUACGGGAUAACAUAUUUGAGAGGCAUCUCUUGAAUAUCAAAGGUGAGCCAGUACAGGAUGGACCCGCGUCUGAUUAGCUAGUUGGUAAGGUAACGGCUUACCAAGGCGACGAUCAGUAGCCGACCUGAGAGGGUGAUC